Molecule: ribosomal RNA, 704 nt
Filed under: Clavispora lusitaniae
Lineage: Eukaryota; Fungi; Ascomycota; Pichiomycetes; Serinales; Metschnikowiaceae
Description: LSU rRNA
Rfam family: Eukaryotic large subunit ribosomal RNA
Source: RNAcentral
UUGAAGGUUUCGUGGUCUGAGUCGGCCGCGCCCAAGUCCAUUGGAACAUGGCGCCUGGGAGGGUGAGAGCCCCGUAUGGCGCACGCCGACUCUUUGUACACCGCGGCUCCGACGAGUCGAGUUGUUUGGGAAUGCAGCUCUAAGUGGGUGGUAAAUUCCAUCUAAAGCUAAAUAUUGGCGAGAGACCGAUAGCGAACAAGUACAGUGAUGGAAAGAUGAAAAGCACUUUGAAAAGAGAGUGAAACAGCACGUGAAAUUGUUGAAAGGGAAGGGCUUGCAAGCAGACACGGUUUUACCGGGCCAGCGUCGAAAAGGGGGGAGGAACAAGAACUCGAGAAUGUGGCGCGCACCUUCGGGCGCGCGUGUUAUAGCUCGUGUUGACGCCUCCAUCCCUUUUCGAGGCCUGCGAUUCUAGGACGCUGGCGUAAUGGUUGCAAGCCGCCCGUCUUGAAACACGGACCAAGGAGUCUAACGUCUAUGCGAGUGUUUGGGUGCAAAACCCCAGCGCGGAAUGAAAGUAAGAGGUUGGAGCCGCAAGGCGCACAAUCGACCGACCCUGAAGUGCUCGGACGGGUUUGAGUAGGAGCAUAGCUGUUGGGACCCGAAAGAUGGUGAACUAUGCCUGGAUAGGGUGAAGCCAGAGGAAACUCUGGUGGAGGCUCGCAGCGGUUCUGACGUGCAAAUCGAUCGUCGAAUCUGGGUAU